RNAcentral lists this ribosomal RNA (433 nucleotides) under uncultured bacterium. RNAcentral's name for it is "partial 16S ribosomal RNA". It matches the Rfam family "Bacterial small subunit ribosomal RNA", at positions 29 to 507 of the family's 1533-position model. The record is from RNAcentral.
AACGAACGCUGGCGGCAUGCCUAACACAUGCAAGUCGAACGAGACCUUCUGGUCUAGUUGCGCACGUGUGCGUAACGCGGUGGAACAUGGCUGUAGGUUCGGAAUAACUUAUAGAAAUUUGAUGUAAUACCGGAUGAUGUCCUCGGACUAAUGAUUUAUCGCCUUUCGAUGGGCUCGCGUUGGUUUAGCUAGUUGGUGUGGUAAAGGCCUACCAAGGCGACGAUCCAUAGCUGGUCAGAGAGGAUGAUCAGCCACACUGGGACUGAGACACGGCCCAGACUCCUACGGGAGGAAGCAGUGGGGAAUAUUGGACAAUGGGCGACAGCCUGAUCCAGCAAGGCCGCGUGAGUGAUGAAGGUCUUAGGGUUGUAAAGCUCUUUUACCCGAGAUGAUAGUGACAGUAUCGGGAGAAUAAGCUCCGGCUAACUCCGUG